AAAACUGGGUCUUUAUUAUUAAUUGCAAAAAGAAUACAAGAAAAGAAACUUCAAACAAUCUUAACAAUUCAGUAUAAAGCCAACAUAGCAAGGAACCCCAAUGCGUUUAAACAAUCUAGCUACACAUGUUCAUGUCUAAAAACAAAUAGGAAUUCAAUUACAAUGAAAGAAUAAAGAAACUGAAACAUAUACACCCUUUUCCUAGAAUUGGAUGAACAUCUCAAAGCCUUGAUCUACACUGCAAUUGAUCUCCAAAAUGUAGUUUGAUUUGUUCCAAAACUCCUCUUCAAUCUUCAAUCGAAUCUCAAUACUCACGAAUCUAAUGUCAAAAGGUGGAAUCAGUCUCCUGGAAGCUACCUCGGGAUGUCUGAAACGUGUCUAAAAAAACUACAGGGGAAGAUGAAGAGUCAAAAUUGUUGAUUCUUUCUCUUCUUUUGCUCAUUCAAUUUUAUACUGUAUGCAAAUACGGGCGUGUUCAAAGCUUGUGUUACCAACACAGGCCGUGUUCUCGAAUGUAGCAAGGGUGUGUUCUCGCCCAUGUUAGCCAACACGGGCCAUGCUCUGGAGCGUGUUACCUUCAAAAACCGUGUUGCUUCAAAGUGCUUAAGCUACACAAUCUGGAAUUUUUUCACGGGCUCAAACACGGGCCGUGUUGACUUCCCAAAAGUCAACCUAAGGUCAAACGCCUCUGAUUACAUUUGUUUUCACCCGAAAUUGAUGUAAAAUUGCUCAAACACUGAUGAUAGACCUAUAAAAUCUCAUGGAAUACAAAAGGACACAAAACACGGGUGAUCUUAGAAUAAAAACACAAUAAAUGCUAAUAAAAUGCACAAUAAUAUGCAAGCAAGCAUGUGUAAAACUAUGCACAUCAUUCCACAUGAUCUUUUGUCUGUUUAGAUUUCAUAACAAUGUUGUCAAUGUAUAGCUCUAUAGUGUUGUCGAUCAUGUUAUGAAAUAUGGCAUUCAUGGCCCACUGAUAAGUCGUUCCAACAUUCUUCAAUUCAAAUGGCAUCAAAACCCACUUAAAGCAUGUUGUAGAUCUUGGACACUUAAAUGUUGUUUUAUGGAUGUCAUCAUUGGCUAUAAAGAUCUAAUUGUAGCUAGAAAAAUAAUCCAUAAAAGACAACUCACGAGAGGCAGUAGCAACUAUAAGAUUGUCUCUAAUCAGCAUGGCAUAGAUAUCCUUAGGUGUGGCGGCAUUGAGAUCCCGAAAGUCAACAAAAAUCUUGUGUUUCCCAUUUUUCUUGACUAUUGGAACCACAUUAGCCUAGCCACUUUCCAUUUAUGGUUGGUCAAAUAAAAUCUUCCCUUCUUUUGUUUCUUGAAUAAUUUACAUCACUUUUAGUUCUAACUAUUUCUUUCUGUCAUACUAUCCGUUUUUUUUAUUCUAGUGUAUACAGUUGUACUAUAUAAAGAUAUAGGCUUAAUCUGGAUAUCAAUUAAUCUAUAUCUAUAAUAUCAUCUCAUAUUCAUAUGUCUAGAUAUCAAUUAUCUAUAUGGAAUGUCCAUAACGUCCCAAUUCUAUUUCUUCAUCUAUUUGAUUUAUGUUGAUUCCAAUUAAUGUCGAAAGGCAACUCUUACUCUUACUUUUAGGAUUCUAAUUCCUAGAUUUCUGAUUAUUUAAAAUAUGAAUCCUACCAUGUACCGAAACAAUAAAAUCAAUCAAAAGGAAUUCUAUAAAAAAACUUUAUAAAAAAACUUUUUCAGAUUUCAACGAAAAGGAUUAGUAAACCCUGCCGAUUUUGAACCUUUGAAUCAUAAUAUGAAAUGAGUCAAAUCAAUAAGGUAUAGCACAAAUCCAAUUUCUCUAAAAUAAUAAAACAAAUACUAAACUAAGCACUAAGCAAGAAAAUAUCUUAGUAUGUGUAGUAUCUCAUUGGAGAACCACUAUGUCUAUCUUAUUUCCCAUAAAAAAUUCACUUAAUUUAAUCACUUUUAAUAACUAAUAAAAGAACUGCUUUCGUUUCUCUUUGAACAUAAAAAAGAUAAAAAAAUAACAAGAGAUCCCUUUAACCUUUAACUCUACUUCCUUAGACUUCAUGGAGGUUAUCGGUAAGGUUGAAAUUCCUUCUUGAUAGCAAGGCGAUGCUCUAGCAGUCUUUUGUCUAAUCCUGGCAUCUCUUGGAAACUUCAAGAAGAACAAUCCUUAAACUCAUGUAAAGUAUCGAUGAUCCUUUUUUAAGGUCGAGAUUGAGGAUACUGCUCACAUAAGUUAUCUGAGGAUUUCCUUAGUUUCUAGGUUCACUUUCGAUAAUAGUUCUUGAACUUUAGUCUUUCUGUUAUCAAACUUUGUAGGUGUUGGAUUUAAAUCCUCGAACUGAAUCUCAUCGCCGUCAUUGUUCUUAUCCUAUGGUUCACCUUCAAGAAUCAGCUUUACGCCGUCUACUUCUUGAGUUUCUUCAUCUGCCAGACCUUUAAUAACUUGCUAUAUCAGUGCUCUCAGGAUUGCAACUGCAGCUACCAUAUAAUGUUCCUUGGAGAGCUUAAUCAUCUAAUUCCUUAAUGACUGGUGCGCUCAUCGGCCUCUUAUAAGGCACAAUAGCUAUUUGAGAUAGGAGUUCCUUAGACUUCAUUUUAAGAUAAUCUUUCUGUGAAGCUAUCAUUGAGUUUGAAAAUCCAUGCUUGUUCUCCCCAAGGAACUGGAUUUGGUCCUAAGUUGAUGUCGUAGUACUUUUCUUCCACUGAAUCUGUUGAUGCUUGAAAAGGCUUAUUGUCUGCCCAAACUACUUCCACAUCAUUCCCUUUCCAGAAUAACAAGAACCGGUGUAGUAAGGAUGGCACACAUGAGUUAGAUUGAAUUCAAUCCUUUCCAAGUAAGCCUCGAUAGCUUGUUAGGGAAUCCAUCAAGAAGAAAGUAGACAAAGAUGUCUUGCUUCCCAUAGUAGUUUUUACUGGCAUAACUCCCAAGGUCUUAGUAACUUUCCCAAUGAAUACAAAUACUAACACUUCUAUAGAAAUGAGAUCCUCAAGUGACUUCCCAAGUAUUCACUACAUCUUUAAUAACAUGAAAUUUACUACAAAGCCAUUAUCAAUUAGAAUCCUUGAUAUUGGCCUUCCAUUAAGUUGUGCCUUGAUGUAGAGCACCCUAAUGUGCCUCGUCAUCCUUUCAGAUGGUUUAUCAAAAAUCACUUUUUUUUGGCUCAUUCCUUUCUGGAUAUUGAAUUGUGAUUCCGUUGUAAAAAGCUUUAGAUUCCUUGUAAUCCUCAUUGAUUGCCCAUUGAGUUUGCUCGAUACUUUAAACACCUUCAGCCUCUACCUUCUGGAAUGCAAUUGGAAAAAUGAUUAUAGUUCUCGCAUAUUUUAGAGGCAUAGGAAUCUGUCAUACCAUGAAGUUUUCUUCCACACUUUGUUGAUUUUCGGCAACUAACAUACCAUCAUCCCAUUUAAUAGCAAUAAUUGAUUCCAUAGGUGUAUCCAUAUAAAAAAGUAUGGAAUAGAAUACUUUGAUGUCAUACUUGCCAGAUGGUUGGCCAAGUAAAUCCUCAACAGUCUUCUUUUUUUACCUACUUUGAGAUUCCUUAGCUUCUUACUUCACUUCCUCACUUUGCCUUACCGCGGACCUUUGUCUUUCCAGCCUCCCCUUUUAUGUCUUGGUAAGUGGUUGUCGAAACUUCUUAUAGCAUAUUGUCUACCACUUUGAAUUGGGUUCAACCAAUGGUGGAGUGAUGAACCUAUGCUGCUUUCUUUGUGUCUUCUUUUUUUAUUAGUGAGAAAUAUGCUUCCGUUUUGGUUCCUGAGUCUAAUCAUCUCUUAUUUAACUUGAAUCACCAAUUUUUUAGGCACCCAUCUCCUAUAAACACUUUCUUAGAAUUGGAUUCCUUAGCUUUAAGUGAAUCCUUAACAAUUGACUUCCUCGCUUUAAUCCAUUUCCUACCUUUCUUUAUUAAAGAUUGAUCAUAAAUCAAAAGUGGCAGAAUUAACAAAUAUCACAGACUGGAACAGAUCCUCGUCUAUCAUCAUGGAUUCUUUCUUCUUUAGGAAUUUGAAGACUCCUUGGUUAAUAUUGUCUUGUGUUAAUUUCUUAAAACUCCAACAAGAAUUAGUGGGAUGAUUCCUUGAGUCGUAAUACUUACAGUAAUCCUUGCUUUACAUCUCUUCCUUAGUCAGUAUUUUGUGAUCAGUAAGAACAGUAAUGAACUUCUCCUUCAGGAGGAAGUAAAAAAUUUCUUCAAUUUUCCCUACAUGUAUUGUAGUUGAGCAUUAGUGGCAAAAUUAUUCUUCUAUAGGCCUGAAGUCUUUUUCGCUAGUAAUGGACAAACACAAGACCCUAAGAAGUUGAUGUCAGCCAUGGCUAUGUCUUGUGUAUUGAUUUCCUGGUAGUAGGUGCCUAUGCCUGCUUUCCUCCUUUGAUUAUCUUUCCUAAAAUAAUUUCUUAUAUUAAGACACUUUAGCAGCCAGUUCAUAAAAAUCAUGAAAUUCCAUACCUUAGAAUUUCUUCCUUAAUUUGCUGUCUAGCCCCUUUAUGCCAUCUUGAUGAACUCUGUCUUUUUAAGAAAAUCUUAGAUCAGCUCCUCAACUUUUUGAACCAUAUAAUGAACAACUGCACAAUCUCUCUUGGCCUUCAAGUUAUCUUAGACAACUCUACUAUGCAGACUUUUGGUUCUACUUUGAAGAAUUUAGUGUGAAACUACCCUCCAUCUCAUGCCAACUACAAAUUGAUUCCUUGGUAAUAUAGUAUACCAAGUAAAAGUAGUCCUAGUAAGUAAAUUUGGAAAAAGCCUUAGCUUGAAAUUAGAAAAGUUCUCAAAGUUUGUACAUUCUCCAUACUGGAUUGUGAUUCUAAUAAUGUGUUCCAAAGUCAAUUCCCUACCAUCGCUAGGAAAUAAAGCAAAAUCUAGAAUAUAAUAACUUGGGUAGGGAUUAUCAUGGUCAAUAUAAUCAAGAUAUGGCUUUUAAAAUUGGGGACAACCUAUUUGACGAAGGCCAUGUCCAUAAAGUUCCUUUAAAAUACCACUUCCCUCAUUGCAUUUGCAUUAAAGUUAGUUUAAGGAAAUUAUACUUGAGGAAAGUUUACUCUAUUCAUUCUAGUGUAUAGAAUUCCUUGAAGGGUAGUCUCUGCCUCAUAUAGGUAAGGCUGAGUGUUGGGAUUGGUUGCUCCAUAGAAUUGCUGAGGAACCGGAAGCCUUCCAAAUUGGCGGCCAGCCUGUAGUGGAGUACUAAAAAGUCCUGGAUUUUCUUCUCGGCGGUGAGGAGGUUGAUAACAUUCCUCAACCUGCCUUUGGAUUUGAUUCACAAUAAGGGAAUCCUUUGAGGAUUACCCUCCGAGUUACUUGCCAUGGUAUCCAAUAGGUCUGAUAAUAAGAACUUCCUCAGCCCAUUAUGGAGUUGGGGAUGAAAGUCGGUGAUGCCUCUAGACAAACUCAAUUGAGGAAUUCAUUUGGUGAAUUGGUGGUACUAGACCUUGCUAUAACUUUUGCGCAACCGUGCAAAAUCUUUAUCUCUGGUGUGUUCUCCUAUAAUCUUGAGUACUUCCUUAUUCUACUUUCGAAAACCUUCUAGAAUAUCAAAGUAAGCAGUAGGAUUAGCAGCACUUAGAAAUGAGAGAAAAUUAUUACCUAGAUUUGCAAUUUCAAGUCCUGCUGGAUUUUGGUGAACUUUCUCCCCUUGAGGGCGAGGAUAUUGAGGAUCUGAGCUUCUCUCCCUUCUAUUUGAUUUGUUCCAUUAGGUGAAUAUUUGGGCUUCUCUCCCUUCUCUGUUCAACCUUUUCACAUGUGAUAGAUUGCUAAGCGUGUCAGAGGUUGAUUACCUCAAAUAAUUGUUAUAGAUGCAAUAAAUGUAAAAUGUGCAACCAUUUGACUUCCAAAUUAGAUGAUUGUGUAGGUAAUAAGGGGACCUAGAUUACCUUGGGUUCUUAGCUAAGUUAAUGCAGUUUUGCUAAAUCAACACGUAUAGUUAAUUAAUGAGCUAAGAAUGUAAAUUUGAGCUGUUAGCAUGCAAUUAUGAACUAAAGAUGUGAAAUUGAGAUGUUAGCAUGCAAUUAUGAGCUAAAGAUGUGAAAUUGAGCUUAAGGAAUAAAGCUAAGAGCUAAAUUAUUAUAAGCUAAGAAUGAUGACGUAAUUAAUGUAAGCUAGGGUAUUUAAGUGCAAUAACUACAAGGUGAAACAAUAACUGGAAAGCUUCAGAAAUGUAAUUGUAUAAAAUAAAUGACUUAUAGAAUGUAAUUAAAUGUUGAUAAACAUUUGAAAGCUUUGGAUAUACUAGCAAAUGAUUGUUUUUCUAAUCUAAGGAUUGUUGUCUAAUCUAAGGAUAAAUGUAAAGAUAAAGUUUAUAGACUCUGGGUCUAUUUUGAUUUGAUUCAUCUAU
RNAcentral lists this long non-coding RNA (6303 nucleotides) under Ricinus communis (castor bean). Its description in RNAcentral is "long non-coding RNA (RCOM_LNC000316)". Lineage: Eukaryota; Viridiplantae; Streptophyta; Magnoliopsida; Malpighiales; Euphorbiaceae. The record is from RNAcentral.